GAACUACUCCCAAACUGAUUGUUUGAGUACAUCUGUCAUUCAGUUGUACUGCUUAUAGCAUGCUAAGACACUGAGAGCCUAGGAUAGCAUCUUUAAUUACUGCUUCAUGCCAAAUAAAUGUAUAAAAUGUUAUUGGACUGAUAUCUUAUUCCUUAUGUCAUAUUUUACCCGGAUUUUAUUGUGACUUCAUUCAGACUCUCAAUUCCUUUAGCUUGUUUUCUCUCAGUUCCCUUUGAUUUGCCCACAUCCUCCUGGUGUUGAAGUAUCCAAAAGUGAGGAGAGGAAAGUGAUUGCAGAAGCAAGAUAAACUUGGAAUGUAGGAAGCUGCGGUUGAAUUAUUUUAUGUGUAAGCUGGGUCAGAAACUGCAAGCACAGUACAGAAAGAACAUAUUCAGAUUCUGGCUUGCAAGAAAAGGAAGCAACUCAUAUGAAAAAUGACCACAAAAGGAAAUGGGUAGCUGAAGAACAGGAGGACGUAAGCCUGCCACCUGCCUCCUUUGGAACGAAGUAGCUGCUGUAUGCAUGUUUUGCUUGGAUUCAUUUCAGUCCAGCUUUCUAAACUUCUGCUUUCCUUAAUCUUGGCUCCUUUCAUGGUGGGAUCUCCCCAAAGAUCUGUUAUUAUUUUGCUUCAGAGUUGUCAUUUCUUCAAAGACUAA
RNAcentral lists this long non-coding RNA (656 nucleotides) under Anas platyrhynchos platyrhynchos (common mallard). RNAcentral describes it as "lncRNA (ENSAPLG00000016973.1)". Lineage: Eukaryota; Metazoa; Chordata; Aves; Anseriformes; Anatidae. The record is from RNAcentral.